GUGGGGAAUUUUGGACAAUGGGCGCAAGCCUGAUCCAGCAAUGCCGCGUGCAGGAAGAAGGCCUUCGGGUUGUAAACUGCUUUUGUACGGAACGAAACGGUCCGGGUUAAUACCCUGGGCUAAUGACGGUACCGUAAGAAUAAGCACCGGCUAACUACGUGCCAGCAGCCGCGGUAAUACGUAGGGUGCAAGCGUUAAUCGGAAUUACUGGGCGUAAAGCGUGCGCAGGCGGUUUUGUAAGACAGGCGUGAAAUCCCCGGGCGCAACCGGGGGAUUGCGCUUGUGACUGCAAGGCUGGAGUGUGGCAGAGGGGGAUGGAAUUCCGCGUGUAGCAGUGAAAUGCGUAGAUAUGCGGAGGAACACCGAUGGCGAAGGCAAUCCCCUGGGCCUGCACUGACGCUCAUGCACGAAAGCGUGGGGAGCAAACAGGAUUAGAAACCCCGGUAGUCC
This 450-nucleotide ribosomal RNA is filed under the name uncultured bacterium. RNAcentral describes it as "partial 16S ribosomal RNA". It matches the Rfam family "Bacterial small subunit ribosomal RNA", at positions 354 to 796 of the family's 1533-position model. The record is from RNAcentral.